Molecule: long non-coding RNA, 2731 nt
Filed under: Gallus gallus (chicken)
Lineage: Eukaryota; Metazoa; Chordata; Aves; Galliformes; Phasianidae
Source: RNAcentral
AAAGAAGUUAUACAUAAGCUAUAUAAACUUUUUACUGUGACCAACAAGCAUAAAUUUGGGAAAGGGGAUGUAUUUUAAAACACGCUUAUGAUUAGUUACUCUGCGGCUACCUUAUGUUUUCACAAAGGAAUGUGAUACAGCAGAAAUAGGGGUAAAUAUUUCAGCAAUUAGAAAAUACGCAGAGAUCUUUGUACUCCCGCACCUGGAUAUGCUCCUAUUCCAACCCUAAAAAGGAAGCCCCCUCUGCUGGCUCUGACAGUAUAUUACUUUAUUCCUUUAAACUGUGGUCCUUACAAGCUGCUACUCAAAUUGCUCUCAUUUAGGUUCCUGAUGUUCAUCUGUGAUCUGCAGGGAUUGCUCUGCUGCUCUGAAUUGCACCAGAGCAAUCCCAGCCAACUGAACAGACGCUCCUCUUCACUCCUCUGCUUUAUGGUGAUGAUGCCACUGGUACUGGACCUUUGGAGACACAGUUACUUCUCCUGAUCACCACUGGGUUCCUUCACAGCCUGCUGUUACUCCUGCUUCUCUGAAGUAUAUACUCUUAUGUUGGAUGGGAAAAUAUGGCCUCUAACAACAUGAGUAACAUCCUUUCACUGCACACCAGUUGCACAUAGAGAAGAGGAAAACUAGAAUGUCAAGAAGGAAAAAGCACCAUCUCUUUUACCUGUCAGUACUAGGACCUACAGACCUUUCCAUCUUAAUUUAUCAUGAAGACCUAGCUAAAAAUACAGUUCCUGACAAGUGGUUCCAAAUAAAUUAAUUGAAAACAUCAACAAGAAAGAUCAUUGACACUUCUGCUAGUUUUACUUUCCUGCAAAAUGAAUCAUUCUGGGUACUGCUGUUUCUUCUGUAGCCUGGAGUAUAACUGUUUACACAUUUAAAAGAGGAUUGUUCAGCUCAUGCAGUCACCUUGGAAAAUGCCAACCAGAUUCCUUUAUGAUGGAACUAAACUGGGAUAUAUUCCCUGGAAGCAUUGUGAAAAUACACCAACUGCAAAAAGGGACAAAGCUCAUGGGCAACACAAGGACCAAUCUAAAUUAAACUCCCCUUGAAAUGUGUACAUCGGGGACACUGGAUCUUAAACAUUAUUUGUUUUGUUUUGCAAAUCUACUGCUUAGCUACACUGCUAGACCAUACAUAACCCUGAAGACCAUAAAGUUUAUUCACUGAAUGCUGAACUUCUCUGAAAAUCUAAAUGUGAGAAUGACAAAAAGCAGUUCACAGACAUUGUAAUUCUUCUCUGCACAGAUAAAUGCACAGUGUCUCAAAAAUACUUCAACAGAGUCUUUUGAAAAUCCAUGGCAUCAUCGGAGAAACAGAUCUGACUGAUUUUGUCUGAAAAAAAAAUUUAGAAGAUGGUUUCAUUUGUAUUUUAGCACAGGAAAUUGUCAGAAGUCUGCCAACAGUUCUGUAAAAUUCUCCAUCUCCUCACUACUUCUUCAAUCUGCAUCCUUUCCCUAAUGAAAUAUACCAUCUCUGCUAUCAAUUCAGCAGUGUGCAAGCACACGCUCAGCUUUCUAGGAGCAAUUCAGUAACAUUCAACCACCCAGAUGUCUGGAAAUGUCUUCACCAGGAACCUGGCAUAACUGGUACAGAUGCUGAAGGAACCUGGGUGAUGGUUGGCAAAAAAGAGGGACUAAUACAAUUAAAAGAAGAUUAUACAAUUGCUGUCAACAACUCAGAUUGGAUGAAAUAUCAGUGCAUCAUACAUGAAGAUAAUUUAUAUGUGCAAGCUUUAAACAUGGAUAAUGUCUUGUGAAUUUCAUGAAGAAGAGAUCGAAUCAUUGCUAAUUCCGAAGUUCAGUAAAAGUAUGAAUGCUCACCAUAGGGAGAUCGCUUACUUUUCUGAAGGAAGGUGGCUGUAUUGGGACAGUAUGUACAUUUGUGAACAACCGUUUUCAAGGAUGAAACACAGGAAGAGUAAAAUUUCACCAAAAAUCUCUGAUGAACACCUUGAGAACUCACUGAGAAUUGCAACCACUGCUAUCAAACCAGACAUUAAUGCAUUACUUUCACAAAAAAAGCUCUUGGUUGCAACUGACUCCCAGUCCUUGGACUCCCACCCACUUCAUAAUUAAGUGCCCUACCUGAAAAGAAGGUGGGGCUAAUACUGUGUGCUGCAGAGAGAGGUUUGAGAAGCCCCUGGCAGACAAUUACGAUGUGACUCCCCAUAGCAAAGUUUUGGUCUCAACAGCCGUUGAGGUUUUUGCAUUUGUAGUAAUACAGUUUUCUGUUCUCUGCAAUAUUUUAACUGUUAUAUUGUCACCACAGUGUGGUCUGUUGUUCACCCAAGUUAGCUGAACCCUGUACAUCGCUGGGAAAGCCUCAUAACACUAAAUCCCCUGGUUUAUUUUUGAAAAUAGGCAUUUUUUUUAUUGCUUUUAUAUGUGUGACUUGCUAAUUACAUAGAAUUCCCCUUUUACCACUAUAAUGCCACAGAUAAAUGAACUUGCUGAUUUUUCCUUGUAUAGUAAUCCUUUACACAUACUUAUAUGCAUCACAACAUUUCUCCCACUUAUCCACUUCCCACAUUCACUGUGUAAUCCAGACUUGUUCACUGCACAACGAAUCCUCUCUGUGUUCUGUCAGGACUCUGCAUUGUGUGUCAUCUGGUCCCUCCUGGGAAUGGAUAUGGGGGGCAAUAUCAACCCCUCAAAAAUUAAAAGAAAAAAAAGCUACAUAUUUCUGAUUUUUUUUUUUAUGCCAAUAGAAACAUUUUGCUCUUUACCGC